Molecule: ribosomal RNA, 446 nt
Filed under: uncultured bacterium
Lineage: Bacteria
Description: bacterial SSU rRNA
Rfam family: Bacterial small subunit ribosomal RNA
Source: RNAcentral
UCGGGAAUUUUGGGCAAUGGGGAAACCCUGACCCAGCAACGCCGCGUGAAGGAUGAAGUAUUUCGGUAUGUAAACUUCGAAAGAAUAGGAAGAAUAAAUGACGGUACUAUUUAUAAGGUCCGGCUAACUACGUGCCAGCAGCCGCGGUAAUACGUAGGGACCAAGCGUUGUUCGGAUUUACUGGGCGUAAAGGGCGCGUAGGCGGCAUGACAAGUCACUUGUGAAAUCUCUGGGCUUAACCCAGAACGGCCAAGUGAUACUGUCGCGCUAGAGUGCAGAAGGGGCAAUCGGAAUUCUUGGUGUAGCGGUGAAAUGCGUAGAUAUCAAGAGGAACACCUGAGGUGAAGACGGGUUGCUGGGCUGACACUGACGCUGAGGCGCGAAAGCUAGGGGAGCAAACGGGAUUAGAUACCCAGGUAGUCCCUGAGCGGGCUGGCAAGGCGCAU